Molecule: ribosomal RNA, 507 nt
Filed under: uncultured soil bacterium
Lineage: Bacteria
Description: bacterial SSU rRNA
Rfam family: Bacterial small subunit ribosomal RNA
Source: RNAcentral
AGAUUGAACGCUGGCGGCAUGCCUUACACAUGCAAGUCGAACGGCAGCACGGGGGCAACCCUGGUGGCGAGUGGCGAACGGGUGAGUAAUGCAUCGGAACGUGCCCAGUAGUGGGGGAUAACUAGUCGAAAGAUUAGCUAAUACCGCAUACGACCUAUGGGUGAAAGCGGGGGAUUCGCAAGGACCUCGCGCUAUCGGAGCGGCCGAUGUCUGAUUAGCUAGUUGGCGGGGUAAAAGCCCACCAAGGCUUCGAUCAGUAGCUGGUCUGAGAGGACGACCAGCCACACUGGGACUGAGACACGGCCCAGACUCCUACGGGAGGCAGCAGUGGGGAAUUUUGGACAAUGGGCGCAAGCCUGAUCCAGCCAUGCCGCGUGCGGGAAGAAGGCCUGGUGUAAACGACUUUGUCAGGAACGAAACGACGCGAGCGAAUAAUACUCGCGUUAAUAGACGGUACCUCGUACAGAAUAAAGACAACCGGCCGUAAACUAACCGUACGACACGCAA